AAGGCAUCACUUUGUCCGGACUCUAAUUCAAAUUGUAUUCAUCCGAUCUUCACCAAACUUGGUCAGCAGUUGCAUCUAGUUGAUAUCUAGGCCAAGUUCGAAUAUGGGUCAUGCCGGGUCAAAAACUAGGUCAUAGGGUCAAUUAGUGCAUUUUCAACGGCGCCACUUUGUCCGGACUCUAAUUCAAAUUGUAUUCAUCCGAUCUUCACCAAACUUGGUCAGAAGUUGUAUCUAGACAAUAUCUAGGUCAAGUUCGAAUAUGGGUCAUGCUGGGUCAAAAACUAGGUCACAGGGUCACUUAGUGCAUUUCAAGCAUUUAGCAUGGUGUCCACUCUCUAAUUGAAGUAGUUUUCAUCCAAUCUUCACCAAACUUGGUCAGAAGUUGUAUCUAGACAGUAUUUAGGUCAAGUUGGAAUAUGGGUCAUUCCAGGUCAAAAACUAGGUCACAGGGUCACUUAAACCAUUUCAAGCAUUUAGCAAGUGCUCUCUAAUUGAAGUAGUUUUCAUCCGAUCUUCACCAACUUUGGUCAGAAGUUGUGUCUAGACAAUAUCUACAUGUAGGUCAAGUUCAAAUAUGGGUCUUGCCAGGUUAAAAACUAGGUCACGAGGUCCCGUAGUGCAUUUCAAGCAUUUAGCAUGGUGUCUGCUCUCUAAUUGAAGUAGUUUUCAUCAGAUCUUCACCAACUUUGGUCAGAAGUUGUGUCUAGAUGAUAUGUAGGUCAAGUUCAAAUAUGGGUCAUGGUAAAGUUAUCAAGUUGUCCAAAGUCUUAAAACGGGCGUAUCUUGUGACAGUUUGGCACUCUUGUUAAAUAUUGAACAUAGCAACUUGAUAUUUGGCAUGCAUGUGUAUCUCAUGAAGCUGCACAUUUUGAGUGGUGGAAGUUCAAGGUCAAGGUCAUCCUUCAAGGUCAAAGGUAAAAAAAAAAAAAAUCAAAGCGGCGUUCUCA
Long non-coding RNA from Dreissena polymorpha, 947 nucleotides. RefSeq lists it as uncharacterized. NCBI's taxonomy places the organism in Eukaryota, Metazoa, Mollusca, Bivalvia, Myida, Dreissenidae. The record is from RefSeq and is a predicted model, not a curated record. The transcript has 2 exons.